UACGUAGGGGGCUAGCGUUGUCCGGAAUCAUUGGGCGUAAAGAGCGUGUAGGCGGCCCGGUAAGUCCGCUGUGAAAGUCGGGGGCUCAACCCUCGAAUGCCGGUGGAUACUGUCGGGCUAGAGUGCGGAAGAGGCGAGUGGAAUUCCUGGUGUAGCGGUGAAAUGCGCAGCUAUCAGGAGGAACACCAAUUGCGAAGGCAGCUCGCUGGGACGUAACUGACGCUGAGGCGCGAAAGCGUGGGGAGCAAACAGG
This 253-nucleotide ribosomal RNA is filed under the name uncultured bacterium. RNAcentral describes it as "partial 16S ribosomal RNA". It matches the Rfam family "Bacterial small subunit ribosomal RNA", at positions 524 to 776 of the family's 1533-position model. The record is from RNAcentral.